This 447-nucleotide ribosomal RNA is filed under the name uncultured bacterium. Its description in RNAcentral is "bacterial SSU rRNA". It matches the Rfam family "Bacterial small subunit ribosomal RNA", at positions 329 to 793 of the family's 1533-position model. The record is from RNAcentral.
GUCCAGACUCCUACGGGAGGCAGCAGUGGGGAAUAUUGCACAAUGGGGGAAACCCUGAUGCAGCGACGCCGCGUGAGCGAUGAAGUAUUUCGGUAUGUAAAGCUCUAUCAGCAGGGAAGAAGAUGACGGUACCUGACUAAGAAGCCCCGGCUAACUACGUGCCAGCAGCCGCGGUAAUACGUAGGGGGCAAGCGUUAUCCGGAUUUACUGGGUGUAAAGGGAGCGUAGACGGCGAUGCAAGCCAGAUGUGAAAGCCCGGGGCUCAACCCCGGGACUGCAUUUGGAACUGUGUGGCUGGAGUGUCGGAGAGGCAGGCGGAAUUCCUAGUGUAGCGGUGAAAUGCGUAGAUAUUAGGAGGAACACCAGUGGCGAAGGCGGCCUGCUGGACGAUGACUGACGUUGAGGCUCGAAAGCGUGGGGAGCAAACAGGAUUAGAUACCCUGGUAU